Molecule: long non-coding RNA, 104 nt
Organism: Aquila chrysaetos chrysaetos
Lineage: Eukaryota; Metazoa; Chordata; Aves; Accipitriformes; Accipitridae
Exons: 3
Source: RefSeq, a predicted model, not a curated record
AAAAAACUGGCUGCAGGUUAUUAUGAGAAAGAACUGGCUGCAGGUCGUUAUGAGAACUGGCUAUCUCUACUCCUGUCCCCCCGCCUCCACCGGGCAGCGGGAGU